RNAcentral lists this unclassified non-coding RNA (344 nucleotides) under Hevea brasiliensis (rubber tree). Lineage: Eukaryota; Viridiplantae; Streptophyta; Magnoliopsida; Malpighiales; Euphorbiaceae. The record is from RNAcentral.
GUGUUAGUUGCAUUGCAUUGGCUUAAUGGGUAUGAGAAUCAAUUAAUAGUUUGUCAAUGCUAAAAAGUAAAAGAGUGAUUUUCUUACUAAUGACUUGAAUGAGUUUUAUUUUAAUAGUAAUAAAUUUUCAAAGAUUUAAAUUUUAUUUGAUAAAAAAUAGCUAAGAAUAUUGAAAAAUUAAAGGUAUAUAUUGACAUUUGAAGAUGCUUGGACAUAUAUAAAUGUCCCUUUAUUCUUAAGGCUAAACUUUGAUGUACAAAGAAAAUGAAAAAAUUUAUCAAAUUAUUUUUUUAAAGUGAUUACUUGUUUUUAAUGUUUAAAUUUUUUUAAAAAAUUAUGUCUAC